GGAUCUUCGGCAAUGGACGAAAGUCUUGACCGAGCAACGCCGCGUGUGCGAUGAAGGCCUUCGGGUCGUAAAGCGCUUUUGGGAGGGAUGAAAAUGACAGUACCUCCCGAAUAAGGAUCGGCUAACUACGUGCCAGCAGCCGCGGUAAGACGUAGGAUCCAAGCGUUAUCCGGAAUUACUGGGCGUAAAGGGCGUGUAGGAGGUUGGGCAAGUCGGCCAUGAAAGCUCCCGGCUCAACUGGGAGAGGCUGGUCGAUACUGCCUGGCUAGAGGGCAAGAGAGGGAGGUGGAAUUCCCGGUGUAGUGGUGAAAUGCGUAGAUAUCGGGAGGAACACCAGUGGCGAAGGCGGCCUCCUGGCUUGUACCUGACUCUGAAACGCGAAAGCAUGGGUAGCAAACAGGAUUAGAAACCCUGGUAGUCCAUGCCAUAAACGAUGUCAACUGGGUGUCGGCGAAGUAAAAUUUGUCGGUGCCGAAGCUAACGCGUUAAGUUGACCGCCUAAGGACUACGAUCGCAAGAUUAAAACUCAAAUGAAUUGACGG
This 542-nucleotide ribosomal RNA is filed under the name uncultured bacterium. RNAcentral describes it as "bacterial SSU rRNA". It matches the Rfam family "Bacterial small subunit ribosomal RNA", at positions 359 to 916 of the family's 1533-position model. The record is from RNAcentral.